RNAcentral lists this ribosomal RNA (486 nucleotides) under uncultured bacterium. RNAcentral describes it as "partial 16S ribosomal RNA". It matches the Rfam family "Bacterial small subunit ribosomal RNA", at positions 29 to 507 of the family's 1533-position model. The record is from RNAcentral.
AUUGAACGCUGGCGGCAUGCCUUACACAUGCAAGUCGAACGGCAGCACGGGUGCUUGCACCUGGUGGCGAGUGGCGAACGGGUGAGUAAUACAUCGGAACAUGUCCUGUAGUGGGGGAUAGCCCGGCGAAAGCCGGAUUAAUACCGCAUACGAUCUACGGAUGACAGCGGGGGACCUUCGGGCCUCGCGCUAUAGGGUUGGCCGAUGGCUGAUUAGCUAGUUGGUGGGGUAAAGGCCUACCAAGGCGACGAUCAGUAGCUGGUCUGAGAGGACGACCAGCCACACGGGGACUGAGACACGGCCCAGACUCCUACGGGAGGCAGCAGUGGGGAAUGUUGGACAAUGGGCGAAAGCCUGAUCCAGCAAUGCCGCGUGUGUGAAGAAGGCCUUCGGGUUGUAAAGCACUUUUGUCCGGAAAGAAAUCCUUGGCCCUAAUACGGUCGGGGGAUGACGGUACCGGAAGAAUAAGCACCGGCUAACUACGUG